AUUGAACGCUGGCGGCAUGCCUUACACAUGCAAGUCGAACGGUAACAGGUCUUCGGAUGCUGACGAGUGGCGAACAAUGGAGUAAUACAUCGGAACGUGCCCGAUCGUGGGGGGUAACGAAGCGAAAGCUUUGCUAAUACCGCCUAAGAUAUCCGGAUGAAAGCAGGGGACCGCAAGGCCUUGCGCGAACGGCGCGGCCUAUGGGCGAUUAGGUAGUUGGUGGGAUAAAAGCUUACCAAGCCGACUAUCGGUAGCUGGUCUGAGAGGACAACCAGCCACACUGGGACUGAGACACGGCCCAGACUCCUACGGGAGGCAGCAGUGGGGAAUUUUGGACAAUGGGCGAAAGCCUGAUCCAGCCAUGCCGCGUGCAGGAUGAAGGCCUUCGGGUUGUAAACUGCUUUUGUACGGAACGAAAAGACUCUUUCUAAUAAAGAGGGUCCGUGACGGUACCGUAAGAAUAAGCACCGGCUAACUACGUGCCAGCCGCCGCGGUAA
Molecule: ribosomal RNA, 498 nt
Filed under: uncultured bacterium
Lineage: Bacteria
Description: partial 16S ribosomal RNA
Rfam family: Bacterial small subunit ribosomal RNA
Source: RNAcentral